GAUGAACGCUGGCGGCGUGCCUAAUACAUGCAAGUCGAGCGAACAGACGAGGAGCUUGCUCCUCUCACGUUAGCGGCGGACGGGUGAGUAACACGUGGAUAACCUACCUAUAAGACUGGGAUCACUUCGGGAAACCGGAGCUAAUACCGUAUAAUAUCUUGAACCGCAUGGUUCAAUAGUGAAAGACGGUUUUGCUGUCACUUAUAGAUGGAUCCGCGCCGCAUUAGAUAGUUGGUAAGUUAACGGCUUUCCAAGGCAACGAUGCGUAGCCGACCUGAGAGGGGGAUAGGCCACACGGGAGCGGAGACAGGGUCCAGGCGACUACGGGAGGCAGCAGUAGGGAAUGUUCCGCAAUGGGCGAAAGUCUGGCGGAGCAACGCGGCGUGAGAUAUGAAGGUCUUCGGAUCGUAAAACUCGGUUACGAGGGAAGAACAAAUGUGGAAGUAACUAUGCACGUAUUGACGGUACCUAAUCAGAAAGCCACGGCUAACUACGUG
RNAcentral lists this ribosomal RNA (497 nucleotides) under uncultured bacterium. Its description in RNAcentral is "partial 16S ribosomal RNA". It matches the Rfam family "Bacterial small subunit ribosomal RNA", at positions 28 to 507 of the family's 1533-position model. The record is from RNAcentral.